UAGUCUCGCACAGAUGCAUAUCAAUAAGCGGAGGAAAAGAAACUAACAAGGAUUCCCUUAGUAACGGCGAGUGAAGCGGGAAGAGCUCAAAUUUGAAAUCUUCAAGGUUUUACCUUGACGAAUUGUAGUUUAAAGAAGUGUUUUCUGUUGAAGUUUUGGUAAAAGUUCUUUGGAAUAGGACAUCAUAGAGGGUAAGAAUCCCGUAUUUGACCAUUAUUUUCAGCUGUGUGAUACACUUUCAAAGAGUCGGAUUGUUUGGGAAUGCAGUCCAAAAUGGGUGGUAAAUUUCAUCUAAAGCUAAAUAUUGGCGAGAGACCGAUAGCGAACAAGUACCGUGAGGGAAAGAUGAAAAGAACUUUGAAAAGAGAGUUAAACAGUACGUGAAAUUGUCAAAAGGGAAGCGUUUGACACCAGUGUUGUUUUCUCGAAAAUCAAUUAAAAAGAGUUAGAUUUUGUUGUGUAUUGACCUUAACAGCUUGCAUUUCAAUUUUCUUGCUUUUUUUAAUGCACUUUUCGUUUAACAAGUCAACAUCAGUUUCUUUUGUUGUAAAAAGGUCAUUGGAAGGUGGCUUUCUUUUCGGAGAAAGUGUUUAUAGCCUUUGACUCCUGCAAUCGGAGAGACUGAGGUCUGCAGCGUAGAUUCUUCGGGGUUAGAUACAUUUGUGCUAAGUUAUAGCUUUUUAUAGACAACUUGUUGACUAUGAUUAGUCUUGUAGCUUACUCGCUUAUGCUAUUUUACCUACGCUUAGGAUGUUGAGCGCAUGUCUCUCUCU
This 773-nucleotide ribosomal RNA is filed under the name uncultured Neocallimastigales. RNAcentral describes it as "partial large subunit ribosomal RNA". It matches the Rfam family "Eukaryotic large subunit ribosomal RNA", at positions 24 to 616 of the family's 3401-position model. The record is from RNAcentral. Lineage: Eukaryota; Fungi; Neocallimastigomycota; Neocallimastigomycetes; Neocallimastigales.